Dromaius novaehollandiae (emu) is the source of this 2272-nucleotide long non-coding RNA. RefSeq lists it as uncharacterized. NCBI's taxonomy places the organism in Eukaryota, Metazoa, Chordata, Aves, Casuariiformes, Dromaiidae. The transcript is spliced from 4 exons. The record is from RefSeq and is a predicted model, not a curated record.
UAGCACUUUGACCAUGCAAAUACUACGUUGCCAUAAUUCUCUCUCCUUUGCUCUAUUAUGUCUGUUAGUCUGAAACAGGACUUCGAGAUUUAUAGGUCUCUCAGUCACCCUUCUUUCCUGGAUGUCAGAGGAAUCAGGAAAUCAUGCUCGCCUGUGACAAAAGCUCACGGGUCAAUAUUAAAUACAGCUGAAGCCUUGACUCCCUUUUGGACUCUGUUAUUACAUCACUAGAAGAAAAGGUACCCCAGCUAGAAGUCAUGGCCUAAGGAUGCAUAAUUUGCAGCCCUCUGCCAGAGAGCUCAAAAAUACAGGUGCACAGAAUGUUCAUCAGUGUCCUGCUGUUGUGCAUAUUCCUAGGUUUCAACUGCUGCUGUGAUGCACAAAGUCUUUAGCAAUGAAGAGGCCUAGGAGAAUGUUAAAAAAAGCCCUAUACAAUCAGAGUGGUCUGUCUUCUAGCCAUGCCCCUGUCUUGGAGUUCUACAUUGUUCUGAGGGAUGCCUCAGAAGCCUUGGUAACAAGUCUGCUACAGUUCAUUACCAUGCACUCCGCUCCAUGCCUCAGCAGUUGUGUGCCCCAGAACGGUUGAUUUCUCACAGAUCUGACAUUCAGCCAAGACACCUGUUUUAAAUCUGAAGCUAGACCUGAUUAAUAAUGCCCCGGAAACCAUAGCUUUCCUAAUAGUUUGCUGAGUGUUUGCAUGAAGGAAGGCAUGAAUGCCAGAAACUCUGUGGGAACCAAAGCACAUAGCUGGAUUCUGGGCAUUACAGUCUGGCAGACACCACACAGCAUAAAAAUGACAAUGUUGCAGGAAAGUGAUGUACAUAAUAACAUACAGAGGUCAAGUUGAGGCAAGACUUUCAGCACUGUACAGUACACACAGAGAGAAACAGCCCUGUCAGCUUGCCUGUCCCUCCCGGACAGCUAAGAUGCCAAAGAAACACUGACACUUUGGGGUGCUCAUGAAUGCUCGAUACAGCAUUUUCACAGGAGGUGGAUCCAGACUCUGAAAGAAAUCUUCACAAGAGAAAAGAAUGUUGUUUAGCUUUGCCACUUAGCUAAAUAUAGGACUCCUAUCAGCAUUAGUUUCUCUUCAAAUACGUACUCCUUUCUCCUUUCAUUCUCAAGCACACCCAGACACACAAACAAAAACAAACGAGUUAUAAACUAAUCAAACUUGUUUUCUUCAGGUGGGAAAGGAAAAGAGAUUAAUAUUUUGAUUUCAAUUUCCAAAUCUCUGGGAGGCACUCAGAUAUUAUCUAUCACAGUGCUUCAAGCUCCUCAUCAUAAUGGUAUCAAGUGCCUCCCAAGCAAUUAAAAAGCAACAAACAAUUACAAAAAGUUCUCCCAUGACUUCUGUCUCCCAUUUCUGCUUAUGAACAAACAAAAUGGGUAGAAUUUUUAACUGAGUAGGGUUAAACUGUGAGGUUUCUGUGCAUAUGAAGAGCUAGGGAGAGAAACUCAGCCUAAAUUCAAUUUGGUUUCAAACCUGUAAGACCUAGGUCACUUCUUUCCCCUAACAUCUGAGAUAUAUUGUCUAAAUCUGCCCUCAGUAACUCCUACAGUCACAAGCUUCCUCUGUUUGGGUAGUUUCACUGUUCCAACAGAAAGCAAUGGACAUAAUCAGAGAUGAAGAGGUGGAUCCUAAAUUAUUUUGGCCAAUUCCAUGGAACUUUUCCAAAAAGCAAGCAAGAGUCCUCGAAGUGGGGUGUUGAAAUCCUGAUCCUAGUUGAAGUUAGCACCAAAACUACUAUCAGCUUUAAAAUUAUUUUAACCUCUGAUUUAUUGUAUAAUUUGGAAACAAUACAAAGAGAUAAUGAUGUAUUCACAGUUAAAUGUGUUGCUAUAUCAAUAGCCUUUAGCAGUCUCUUGGUGUUUUCACAGUGCAAAGCUUUACUCUAAAGCUGUCUGAUACAACAGCCUUCUCAAGUGUGUAUCUUGCAUACAAUAGUGAUUUAUCUCCCCCAGUAUGCAUAUUUGGGAGUCCAGACACAGUCCAGAAGGAGCCAAAAAAUACAAAUAUGACAGUAUCUUCAAAGAGCCUGGCAUUACAGAGGCAACAAGUUCUACAAGUGCAGCCUUCCUUCUACAUACACAGCAAUAGCAUUGCUCGGGUUCAGCUUUACCCAGACGUCCGUCGUCUGACACUGAUUUUCAUUAUGCAUUAUAAAGAGAUAAUCCUGCUUAUAUGCUCUGUCAAAGAGAUGGAGCUGCAUAUCAUCUGUAUACCGCUUCUGUUUAAGUUGCCUAAUAAAUAUUUCAGUGGUUUCAUGGA